UACGGAGGGUGCAAGCGUUAAUCGGAAUGACUGGGCGUAAAGGGUGCGUAGGUGGUUGCGUAAGUUAGCUGUGAAAUUCCUGGGCUUAACCUAGGGAGGUCAGCUAAGACUGCACGACUAGAGUAUGGGAGAGGGUAGUGGAAUUUCCGGUGUAGCGGUGAAAUGCGUAGAGAUCGGAAGGAACACCAGUGGCGAAGGCGGCUACCUGGCUCAAUACUGACACUGAGGCACGAAAGCGUGGGGAGCAAACAGG
Molecule: ribosomal RNA, 253 nt
Filed under: uncultured bacterium
Lineage: Bacteria
Description: partial 16S ribosomal RNA
Rfam family: Bacterial small subunit ribosomal RNA
Source: RNAcentral